RNAcentral lists this ribosomal RNA (460 nucleotides) under uncultured bacterium. RNAcentral's name for it is "partial 16S ribosomal RNA". It matches the Rfam family "Bacterial small subunit ribosomal RNA", at positions 338 to 795 of the family's 1533-position model. The record is from RNAcentral.
CCUACGGGUGGCAGCAGUGAGGAAUAUUGGUCAAUGGACGAGAGUCUGAACCAGCCAAGUAGCGUGAAGGAUGACUGCCCUAUGGGUUGUAAACUUCUUUUAUAUGGGAAUAAAAUGUUCCACGUGUGGGAUUUUGUAUGUACCAUCUGAAUAAGGAUCGGCUACCUCCGUGCCAGCAGCCGCGGUAAUACGGAGGAUCCGGGCGUUAUCCGGAUUUAUUGGGUUUAAAGGGAGCUUAGGCGGAUUGUUACGUCAGUUGUGAAAGUUUGCGGCUCAACCGUAAAAUUGCAGUUGAAACUGGCAGUCUUGAGGACAGUAGAGGUAGGCGGAAUGCGUGGUGUAGCGGUGAAAUGCUUAGAUAUCACGAAGAACUCCGAUUGCGAAGGCAGUUCACUGGACUGCAACUGAAACUGAGGCUCGAAAGUGUGGGUAUCAAACAGGAUUAGAUACCCUAGUAGUC